This is a long non-coding RNA of Rhinopithecus bieti (black snub-nosed monkey), 1878 nucleotides long. NCBI's taxonomy places the organism in Eukaryota, Metazoa, Chordata, Mammalia, Primates, Cercopithecidae. The record is from Ensembl.
UUCCUUCCUUCCUUCCUUCCUUCCUUCCUCCUCCUUCCCUCCCUCCCUCCUUUUCAUCUGUUUAUUUACUGAGUACCAUCUCCACAUGAGACAAUAUGUAAGGCUUUUGAGGAUACAGAGAUGAAUUAUUUCAGCUACUCAUUGAGCGUAUGCUAUGUGCAAACGUACCUAUACAUAGCUUCCAGGUAUAGAAAAACUCAUUAUUCAUAUUGUUCGUCAAAUAUUUGUGGAUGAUUGACAAGUUUUUUGGACUUAUUACUGCUCAUCAAACCCAUUUCCACUUUUACUUGAGCACACAGUUUAAGCUACAUUUUCCAGCCUUCCCUGCAGUGAGGUGUGACCAAGUGACUGAAUUCUAGUUAAAGGAAUGUGAGCAGAAGUGAGGUGGGGUAGUUCCUGGCCUGGCCAUAAACUGUUUCUGUUUUUUCCACAACCUUCCAGCUAGGUUUCAACACCAAGGAUGACCCUGGAAGGUCACUUGUUGAAACUGGCAGAGCCAUCAGGAGCCUGGGUUCUUGAAUGAACCAGUGGAGCAGAGCCCUCCUUCCCUCCCCCAUCCUCUGCUGCCCUGAACCUGCAUUUCGUCAUCAGGCACCAACAGAGCUCUCAUGGGCACCGAGGCCUGCAGCCACCCGGGACAGUUGUCACUGGUCCACAUCAGCUAUGCAGGGCCCAGUGGGGAAGACUGAACUGGUGUGUCUGGAGCCUGGAUCCACCCCCGCCAUCGCCUGCUUGAUGGUCAGUGCACUGAGAAUGGCUCUUUGGUGGCUUCCAGAGCAUAUGAAGUGGAAAGAAGGUUGAAACUAUGCAGCCUGACUCAGUUUCCUGACUUCUAAACUGUCUGCUGGUAUUGCCUGGGCUCUAUGGAAAUACUUCUACUAUUUGAUGUCCAGCUUCAACUGCAGAGCCUGCUGCACCAGCACUGACUCUAAUGUCAAGAUGACCGAUUUCAACUCAAACUCUCCUGGAAAAGAAUGCACUGAUGGAUUGACCUUCACAAUCCAACAUAGUGUGUUGCUGGUAUGUGGGGUUCUCCCCUUGAUCCUCUUAGACUGCUGGGCAGUAAUCCCUUGUAAAUCAACUGCAUAGCCAAUGCAAAGGGAACAGAACUUGGCAAGAUAAUACAGAUCUGGCUGGUACAUUGAGGAUCCUCGAAGGGAUUAAUAUAACUGGUAGAUGCCUUGCAUAACAUUUCAAUAUGGAAAGUACGUGGCAAAGCAAGACUUUUUAAUUCAUUGGUCUCUCUAUUAAUUCAAUUUCAUUUCAAAUGAAUUAAUAGAAUUUGGAAUUUCAAAAUACAGAAUUUCCUUUCAGUAUGGAUUUCUGACGAGAAGUCAUUCUGACUAGUCUUCAUACCAUCCUUAUUUGGGGGCUGCUUUCCCUGUUUCAUCACAAGAGGGCAGUGGUCAGUCUGGGAAGUUAUUUUGUACAUGACCCUGUCCUCUCACCAGGCCUGACAGGGAAGGACCUUCAGAGUCCAUUCCCCAAAGACAGUGACUUAGCCUAAGCCAUUCAUGGUUCAAUCCCUAGGAAUUUGAAGUUGAGACUGAAAAAAGAGAGGUCUGCUCCAGGGAGCAACAUGUCAACUCGGGAUUCAUCCGCAGCCAUGUUUUGUUGUUGUUGUUUUGCUAUGUGGUCAGGAAAACUGGAAUCCACUGAUCCUUGAGAAAGAGAAAAUUGAAACAGACACAAAGAGAGGCAUAAAACCUCCUAGCUCCUGUCUCCAGGUAGUUCCAGAGAAGUAAAUUUAUGCCUACCCUUUAAUUCUAUGAGAUAUUCUAGCAUCAUUGUAAUAAAUAUUCCAUUUUGCUUAAGCUAGUGCCUGUGAGUAUCUGUACUUAGAAACUGAGUCUAAAUAACCACUACAAAAGUAAACUA